UCACAUCACUUAUUACUUUUAGCGUCGCUGGCUUGUUAACCAAUAUAUCCUAAAAAUUAGGGUUCCAGUUAUCCGAGCUAUAAAAUUUCUGUUUGCGGGCCAAAGCACAAGGACUGCCCCACACAAAUAUGAUGGAUUGAACAGGGAUUUGAUUUAUCCAGGUCUCCCACCUCCCCUCGAGGCUCCAUGCAGAGCAACCUGCAACCCAACUCCCAAAACUUUCCAACUCAACCCUUCUCGUGCCUGCCCUUCAAACCAUCCGUACUUAUCAAGCCGUGGUUCUAUCGUAGCAGUACCAAUUUCGAGAUGUCCGCUUUUGAAACCAGAUGUUAGCCAUUGUCAUUCCCAGCAUAUAAUACAAUUCAUUUUUGUACAAAAUGCAAACAGCCACACUUACUGACACCAAGCAAAUGUCUUUGGUUUUGUCACAACAAUCCACCAACCUGCAGUCAGUCCCACGGAGAGCACAUUUUCUGUCGUCUAACUCUCGAGGGGCCGGUUGAGGGUAUGCCAUGACUGACGUCGUGGUGAUGCCUGCAAAGAUAACAAGAUUAAGGAAGAGCUUCAUUUUUUAUCUGGGAUAGGUAACUUAAAAAUUAUCCGUUAGUAUAUUUUGCUGGCUGCUGGAUCAAACAUGUGCACUUACUUUCGUAUGGUGUCAAGACUAAGGAGUUUCGGUCUCAAUGUAGGUGAAAGAUACCUUUAUGAGAUAAAUAUUGAUUGCGGGCUCGUCACCUUUUUAUUUUCAAUUUAUACUGUGCUUCCAAGAGUCUCUUGUCAUUGAGAAAUGCAAGUGUUAACGCAAAAUCAAUCACAUCUGCGCUGUGUACAUUUCUCUUUGUCCAGGUUCACCAGCAAUGCAUCAUAACAACAUGGACAUGUAUGUAAAGUACUUGUACUGUCCAAUACAAUAUGCAGGUUUUCAGCUCAAAGUUUUAUCGUGACACCAUAGCGAGGGAUGACUUUUCUCUCGAGUCUUGGUUCUACACGAUUAGGCAUUUGAACAGGGUAUUUUUCCUAGCGGGUUACUUCUCCGUUCUGCUCUGGCAAUGACAAAACAGAAUUAUCAUAGGUUCUCAGCUCCUUCCUUUAUAUUUACGUC
This 1102-nucleotide small RNA is filed under the name Histoplasma ohiense. RNAcentral describes it as "hypothetical lncRNA". The record is from RNAcentral. Lineage: Eukaryota; Fungi; Ascomycota; Eurotiomycetes; Onygenales; Ajellomycetaceae.